RNAcentral lists this ribosomal RNA (385 nucleotides) under uncultured bacterium. RNAcentral describes it as "bacterial SSU rRNA". It matches the Rfam family "Bacterial small subunit ribosomal RNA", at positions 28 to 416 of the family's 1533-position model. The record is from RNAcentral.
GACGAACGCUGGCGGCGUGCUUAACACAUGCAAGUCGAGCGGUAAGGCCCUUCGGGGUACACGAGCGGCGAACGGGUGGGUAACACGUGGGUGACCUGCCCUUAGCUCUGGGAUAAGCCUGGGAAACUGGGUCUAAUACCGGAUAUGACCUCAUGACGCAUGUUGUGGGGUGGAAAGCCUUGUGCGGCUAGGGAUGGGCCCGCGGCCUAUCAGCUUGUUGGUGGGGUCACGGCCCACCAAGGCGACGACGGGUAGCCGGCCUGAGAGGGUGACCGGCCACACUGGGACUGAGACACGGCCCAGACUCCUACGGGAGGCAGCAGUGGGGAAUAUUGCGCAAUGGGCGAAAGCCUGACGCAGCGACGCCGCGUGAGGGAUGACGGCC